Small nuclear RNA from Myotis lucifugus (little brown bat), 107 nucleotides. The record is from Ensembl. Lineage: Eukaryota; Metazoa; Chordata; Mammalia; Chiroptera; Vespertilionidae.
AUGCUUGCUUCAGCAACACAUAUACUAAAAUUGGAAUGAUACAGAGAAGAUUAGCAUGGCCCUUGCACAAGGGUGACAUGAAAACUCAUGAAGCAUUCCAUAUUUUU